UGUAUCACUCUAUGACUCUAACUUACUGCAACAGGAAAGAAACAGAUUGAGGUUGGAAAAUAUAUAUAAAUGCCACUUUCCAUCCUUGCAGUAAAUUAGAGUCAUAGAGUGA
Molecule: long non-coding RNA, 112 nt
Organism: Amblyraja radiata (thorny skate)
Lineage: Eukaryota; Metazoa; Chordata; Chondrichthyes; Rajiformes; Rajidae
Exons: 3
Source: RefSeq, a predicted model, not a curated record